GACAACGUGUCCGAGUGGUUAUGGAGACAGACUUGAAAUCUGUUGGCUUCGGCCGCGUAGGUUCGAACCCUGCCGUUGUCG
This 81-nucleotide transfer RNA is filed under the name Fusarium odoratissimum NRRL 54006. RNAcentral's name for it is "tRNA-Ser (TGA) (tRNA-Ser-TGA-2-1)". It matches the Rfam family "tRNA". Rfam says of the family: Transfer RNA (tRNA) molecules are approximately 80 nucleotides in length. Their secondary structure includes four short double-helical elements and three loops (D, anti-codon, and T loops). The record is from RNAcentral. Lineage: Eukaryota; Fungi; Ascomycota; Sordariomycetes; Hypocreales; Nectriaceae. RNAcentral also lists the same sequence under 1 other name.